Molecule: long non-coding RNA, 3483 nt
Organism: Alligator mississippiensis (American alligator)
Lineage: Eukaryota; Metazoa; Chordata; Crocodylia; Alligatoridae
Exons: 2
Source: RefSeq, a predicted model, not a curated record
UUGGUGGCCGGCAUUGGGGCGGGGAGCUGGUCUUCCCCUCGCCCUCGCAGCUCCCUGCAGGGGCUCUGGCAGCCAGGCUGCCGCAGGGUCCUGCUUGAGAAUCGCUGCCACAUACCAGCCGCCUGCGAGCCCGAUCUUUUCUGAACUUGGCCUCAGUUCACUGCGGACGAGAAUCCGGCAGCCAUCGCGGUGCUGCUGGCUCCCUCGGAUUUGCUGAGCAGGAGGAGGUCGACUCUUAAGGUCUGGCCCCUUCCUGAGGCAUCUCAAACCUGCCGCAGCAACGUACUUGGGUGUCAUUGCCCAUCCAAAGCCCCCCUUGCGUUAGAAAGGUCUCCACAGCUUCACCUGUGCAGCCGCUAGAGGGCUGGCCACCAGCACCGCUCCUUCCGAACGAGCGCGCGUUCCUCCUUCGGGAUCCGUGUGGGAGUGUUUUAUGGAGAAAUGAAAGAAAUGUUUGAGAAAGCAGUACAGUGCUACAGUCAAGUAAUCAGACUGGAAGCCUACGACUGCAGCUCGCUUUUCCAUGUUAUACCUUUCCAGUGCUAAGGGGUGGCUGUGGGGGUAAGCGCUUGGAGCUGUAUGGAUUUAAGGACCCCUGUACACGGAAAGUGGAUCACGCAAGGCCGUUACGCACCGCGCUGCAGACACUGAUACACGGCUUCUGGCUCAGAGAGAUCAUGUGCAGAGCAGGUUGUUUGAGUGCUUCACCACCUGGUACAAUUUGUCUUGCGGUGGAGAUAUAGCCCUAAGGAUUUAAGAAGCCACAUCCAAAAUGCUACAGUAUUUUGGAGGCAGCCUCCCCCCUGAGCCUGCGCUUUUCCAGACUGAAGAGUCCCAUGGUUCUCAGCCUCUCUUCAUAAGGCUUGUUCUCUUGCCCGCUGAUCAUAUGCGUGGCUCUCCUCUGGCCUCAAGCUUCUCAACAUCCUUGAAUUGUGGAGCCCAGAAUUGGAUGGAGUACUCCAGCUGCGGCCUCACCAAGGCCAAGGGCAGCUGGAGGAUAACUUAGAUUCAUAGAUGUUAGGGUCGGAAGGGACCUCAACAGAUCAUCGAGUCCGACCCCCAAGUAAAUUUACUCAAGUAAAUCUGUGAGCAACAGAAUGCAUUACAUGUUAACAUUAUGAUAACUGCAUGAUUCCCAGCAGAGCACGGUUGCUAUUACAGAAGGAUCACCACAUUUAGCACCUUUGUAGCAAUGUAGGGAGCCCUUCAGUCCAUCACCAAGUUUAGUCUCCUCAUGUUACAAGCAACCAAUUCCUUUCAAAACAGGGUGGAAAGGUUUAAUGGCACAAUAGGACCUGACCCCUGAUCUCAAGAAUUGCACCUCCUACCAUGCCACAUGCAAUUGUUGGGAUUGGGGAUCAGCGCCUAGUUGGACAACCUGCAGCAGGGAGCCCUGGGCACAGGUUCAUAAGGUGUCAGCUGGGGGAGUCAAUACACUGUCUCCCACACCCAGAAGCUGCAAACCCACAGGUUCCCAUACUGUGACCCCAGGAUCAAAGAGCCUCUGCAUCUCCAACAGGAGCUAUGGAGCAAGGCACUUUAAUAUGCCAGGUAACAGGAAGCUGGCAUUUUGAAGUGCUUGAAAGGGUAAGGCACGAAAGGCUGCAGGGCACAGAAGUUCCCUUGUUCCUUCAGGGGGAGCCCCUCAGCUUCCCCUUGCAACCGACUCCCUUGACAGCCCAUUUUUGGCAUCAGUGCACAUUAAUAGUACCCUGAAUGUUAGUGUGUGCCAGGGCCACAAAUCGAACUGUUGCAGGACAAAAGCCAAAAAUAAAAUAGCCAUGGACAUAUAGUCAUUUUCCUUAGCUUUGGAGACAGCCCCUCUCAGAGCCCAGGUGUGAGCGAAAGGCUAAGGGAUAGAGCAACAAAGCUUUUGACCUCAGAUACCUUAUUUUCUUUUUCACUAUAAAACUGGCAUAUUUGUCACAUGGAGCAUAGAUCCCCUGGAUUCGACUAAAAACUAGGGCUUCUACGAAAAAGACUGUAGAUCUUCCGUUUGAUCUUCAUCCACUCUGAAUGAAUACAGAAGCUCAUGGGGUGGGUUUCUAAAGAGACUUGUGGGCAGCCUGAAAGAGAAAAAAUAAAGUCUAAUGCCAGGGGCCCAGCUUUUUUAAAGCAUCUACACAAAAAUAUUGAACAGCAUCCCAUAUGCAAAGGGCAAAGAGGGAUGUGUGUUUGUGCAAUUCUAUCCCUGUAAAAGAUAUGAAGUUCCCAAGCAGCUUGUGCACAUGUGGAGGUUUAUGCCACUGAACCUCAACACAGGAAUGGGAACACAAGAUGUACUCCUUGAACUGGACAUGAGUUUAUGCAGCCUCACUAAUAGCAGGUAUAGUCUGAAUGCCUCUGACAGUAUAGCCAAGCUCCCAGUCCUGAGCUCUUCCCAUUUAUUAAAAAAAAUUGUUAUAACUUUUCUCUUAUCUCGCGUUACUUUUCUUGCAAGAUUCUCAUGUCCUUUCACAUUUUCUUCAUAUUUUUGUGGCCAUGUGGAAUUUCACUCAUAAAAAAAACUGCAUUAAUGUAUACACACAAUUACUCAGAGGUCAUAAAAGCUUCUCUUAUCUCAUUACUCCUGCUGCACUUGUGAGCCUUUUUCUUUCAAAUAUUUCCAAAAUACUGAUUGUCUUUAGUUAGAACCUUGAAGACAUGAGCUUCAGAUUAUCCCCACACACUGUUAACUUGCAAAAAUAACCACUACUUGUUAUAGGUGGCCAGAACAGAUAUCCACACUGAAAAUUCAUGGACAGGUACUCUCUCUUGCAUACAUAUAAAAUAUUUAUAUUUACAAAUUCUAAUCAAAGAUACACAGUCAUGUCUACACAGAGAAAGCCUAUUGCAUAUGGCUAAAUCAAAUUUCUCUUCUGAGGAAAACAACGGAAUGCAGGGGUGGCAAACACAGCAAAGAUAAAUGCAGAUCUCAAGCUAGUCAAAAUAAUUUUUCCUCUGCUGAUUGAACUGUUGCAUGUAGCUCAAGGGGAAGCAUUCCUACUCAUUUUAAAAUAUAUUGAUCAUGACAACAAAGAUAUAUUCAGUUUACUUUUAUUAAGCUGACGAUUACUAAUCAAACACAAAGUUUAAAAUUAAAAAGUACUUGAAUAACCAGUUAUUGUGAAGUGCCUUUAUUAGUUCAAUAAACUAUGACUUUGCAACUAUUUUAUAGAUUAGAGCCAAUUUCACUUAAUGCCUUGUGUACAGAUUCUCUAUGAACAAAUAGUCAAAGCUGAAUGUUCCAAUUUUCGCGAUUCCAAUGACACUCAUGCAACUUUAACAUCCAAAUUAUAAACUGUUCCUUGGAAAUCAAAAUACCAUGUGCAGAACAGUCACAUACUAAGGUACAGUCAGCCAAUAACUACAUAAUGUUAUUUAUGUGAAUUUGUAUGUUAGAAGUGAACAAAGUUACUAAAUCAUUGCCUCAACUUUUGCCCAUUUCACACUAGCCUGCAACUCCCAUCAACUUUAAACACUACACAAAAAAACUCAGUAAAA